GAAAGAAUGACUGAGUGGUUGAAAGUGGCAGAUUGUAAAUCUGUUAGGUUUUUAUCCUAUCGUAGGUUCGAAUCCUACUUCUUUCA
Molecule: transfer RNA, 86 nt
Filed under: Hemiaulus chinensis
Lineage: Eukaryota; Bacillariophyta; Thalassiosirophyceae; Hemiaulales; Hemiaulaceae
Description: Hemiaulus sinensis tRNA-Tyr
Rfam family: tRNA
About the family: Transfer RNA (tRNA) molecules are approximately 80 nucleotides in length. Their secondary structure includes four short double-helical elements and three loops (D, anti-codon, and T loops).
Source: RNAcentral